Molecule: small nuclear RNA, 136 nt
Filed under: Penicillium polonicum
Lineage: Eukaryota; Fungi; Ascomycota; Eurotiomycetes; Eurotiales; Aspergillaceae
Description: U4 spliceosomal RNA
Rfam family: U4 spliceosomal RNA
About the family: U4 small nuclear RNA (U4 snRNA) is a component of the major U2-dependent spliceosome.
Source: Rfam by way of RNAcentral
AUCCUAGUGCAAGGGUCUUACACGUAUCAGUGAGGAAAUAUCCGAGAUCGUGUUUUUGCUGGUUGAAAACUACCACCUUGACCACUUCAAGUGGGCUCAUCGCCUGCUUGGGAAUUUUUGAAGCUACAUUGCCUUA